This 262-nucleotide long non-coding RNA is filed under the name Elaeis guineensis (African oil palm). RNAcentral describes it as "long non-coding RNA (EGUI_LNC019823)". The record is from RNAcentral. Lineage: Eukaryota; Viridiplantae; Streptophyta; Magnoliopsida; Arecales; Arecaceae.
AUCAAUUGUUGAAGCCACGCGCACCGGAUUUGAUCGAUCUAGGCUUGUGAUCUAAUUUCUAAUCUCUUUGAGACAAUUCACCAAACAUAUUGCAGGCAUAAAUAAACAAAGACAAAGAAACCAAGAUUUACGUAGUUCGGCACAAGAGGCCUACAUCCACGGGGAGGAGGAGCAAUCCACUAUAAAUCCGUCCCGAAAAAUAGGUACAAUAUGAGGUAUAAAAUAUCUUUAUCCAAAACCAACAAGAAGGCAACAGAGUAUC